This is a long non-coding RNA of Penaeus vannamei (Pacific white shrimp), 339 nucleotides long. RefSeq lists it as uncharacterized. NCBI's taxonomy places the organism in Eukaryota, Metazoa, Arthropoda, Malacostraca, Decapoda, Penaeidae. The record is from RefSeq and is a predicted model, not a curated record.
GUUUCCAUGGCGUGGAUAUAUAAUGAAGCUUUAAACCGCGAGCUUUCUUCUUUCAUCUGAGCUUUCGGACAAAAUAUUUUUUGAAUCCCUGCAGAGGAGCAAGAAUGCCACGGCCGACCCGCUUCCUCUUGGCGUUGGCGGUGCUCAGUGCGGCGGCCGCGUGGGUGGGGGACGCCGCGCCGCUGGAGGAGGAGGGCGAGGCGAAGGACUUGAGAACCCUGACCGACAGCAUCCCCUGCAGAGGUCCUUGCCGUGCACGUGAUCAUCGGAACAAUUGCAAGGAGAUGAUUGAUUGCACGUCCCCAUGAGAUCGUUUGCAGAUGAGGAAAAAUAAUAAAA